Long non-coding RNA from Anopheles arabiensis, 1498 nucleotides. RefSeq lists it as uncharacterized. The transcript has 7 exons. The record is from RefSeq and is a predicted model, not a curated record. NCBI's taxonomy places the organism in Eukaryota, Metazoa, Arthropoda, Insecta, Diptera, Culicidae.
CUGAACAGUCGUGUCUUCAAUUGUUUCAUUUUGUACAUUACAAUAUACAUACCAAAUUUACUAUAGAGGAUGUAGGACGACGUUCGAGCUCAACCCUUCCAGAAACGAUCCAACCUAACUCGGUGUUCUGUAGCAUUACUUUCUCGGGUACCAGUUUAAGAAUACCUUCUAGCAUCAGCUCAUCAUAGCUCUCUCUGCCGAUCAAUAAAUCGAUGGACGAUGGUAAAUUCCAAGUAAUGUAACGCAUUACAUGAAAUUUCCAAUUUGCUUUGAAGCUAGUGCAAUGAGAUUUUAUGGUAAGCUGUGUCGAGUGCGAUGAUACAUGCUUGCUUUGUCCAACUCCACCAAUUGGAUGGUUCUCUCUCUUUUUAAUGACCUGCAAUCGCUGACACAAACGCUCAGUUACCAGAUUGAUAUGCGAUCCUUCAUCUAAUAGAGCGCGUGCCCAAUGCAACGAUCCGUCUGGUAACUCUAUUUUCACCAAAGCUGUGGGUGGAACCGGUUGCGUCACUAUCUCAUUAGGGGCCACUUCAGCCGAACUACUGGUUUGUACUGGUUUGUGCAACAUAAGGCCCGAUUAUUAAACACAAACGGAAGUGACACAAGACAACCGUGUCAAGACAAACGGAAAAUAGCUGUGUGUGCCUUAAAGCCUUUGUCGAUGUGUCAAAAUGUUCAAAAUCAAAAUAAAAAAAACGUAAACAAGUUUAAUUAAGAUACAUACGUUUCGCAAGCUAAUAACAAUCCUUGUUUUAUACAUCGAAAUGCAAAAACAUCCUGUACAUCUGGCAAAACAGCGCCGAUUGCUUCGAAGUGUUUUCGAUCCGUUACAGCUUUCUAACCAAGCAUUUAAGAAAAAAUUUCGUGUGUCGAAGAAAAUUUUCCUUGACAUUCUUGUGGAGAUCGAUCCCAAGUUCCCACCGGUUAAGGGAAAGGGGCUUAAGCCAAAUGAAAUUGUGGCUGCUGCUCUGCGAUUACGAUGAGCAUUAUAACCGGAAGGUUAGGUUAUAUUAUAUCACCGGUUUAGGGCUAUUACAGCCUAAACGCAAUGAUUAUUUGCGACCAUCUUAUGAAAAUUCGGUAUGUGAAUGCCAAAUUCGGAGGAGCCAAUCACGAUUCACAUAUUUGGAAUGUAUGGAAUGGACAACUUUUUCGAAACAAAUUUAAAACAUCGACGCGGAGAAACUGCAUUGAAGCUACUAGGUGAUGCUGGAUAUCCGUCAAAACCAUGGUUAAUAACACCAAAACGUAAUCCUGCUCCAAACACACCAGAAGCUGCCUUUAACCAUAAAAACCAUUCUUUAGGUAGAGAAAUAGUGGAGCGCGCGAUCGGGUUGCUCAAAAGUAGAUUUAGGUGUUUGUUAGGUGCUCGACAGUUGCACUACACCCCGUUAAAAGCAACUCAAAUAACGAACGUAUGUUGCAUCUCACACAACAUGUGUAUUGCGUAUGGAUUGGAAGAGCUAAGCUCAAAUGAAUAAAAGGCAACGCAACUAAA